RNAcentral lists this ribosomal RNA (560 nucleotides) under Exiguobacterium aurantiacum. RNAcentral describes it as "bacterial SSU rRNA". It matches the Rfam family "Bacterial small subunit ribosomal RNA", at positions 182 to 730 of the family's 1533-position model. The record is from RNAcentral. Lineage: Bacteria; Bacillati; Bacillota; Bacilli; Caryophanales.
CGGACCGCAUGGUCCGAGGAUGAAAGGCGCUUCGGCGUCGCCUGGGGAUGGCUUUGCGGUGCAUUAGCUAGUUGGUGGGGUAAUGGCCCACCAAGGCGACGAUGCAUAGCCGACCUGAGAGGGUGAUCGGCCACACUGGGACUGAGACACGGCCCAGACUCCUACGGGAGGCAGCAGUAGGGAAUCUUCCACAAUGGACGAAAGUCUGAUGGAGCAACGCCGCGUGAACGAUGAAGGCCUUCGGGUCGUAAAGUUCUGUUGUAAGGGAAGAACAAGUGCCGCAGGCAAUGGCGGCACCUUGACGGUACCUUGCGAGAAAGCCACGGCUAACUACGUGCCAGCAGCCGCGGUAAUACGUAGGUGGCAAGCGUUGUCCGGAAUUAUUGGGCGUAAAGCGCGCGCAGGCGGCCUCUUAAGUCUGAUGUGAAAGCCCCCGGCUCAACCGGGGAGGGCCAUUGGAAACUGGGAGGCUUGAGUAUAGGAGAGAAGAGUGGAAUUCCACGUGUAGCGGUGAAAUGCGUAGAGAUGUGGAGGAACACCAGUGGCGAAGGCGACUCUUU